Molecule: long non-coding RNA, 446 nt
Organism: Bactrocera neohumeralis
Lineage: Eukaryota; Metazoa; Arthropoda; Insecta; Diptera; Tephritidae
Exons: 2
Source: RefSeq, a predicted model, not a curated record
UCAUUUCUGUAGUCAGUCUUCAUUUACUUUCUUUGCAAAUCGAAAGUAUUAGCACCCACGAUGAGGAGGUAUAUCGUUUUAUCCGACAGCGUGAGGUUUAUGAACUUCAUCACUAAUUUUGUCAUAUGACAUAUUUGAGAUGAUGUUUCUUCGAUGAUCGCUCGGUUUUAACGGAUAAAACGACUUCUGAGUGGUCUAAACAAAUUUUAAAUUAAUAAAUUCAAGAGUGUAAAAGAAAUAUAUGAAAGCAUAUGUAUGUACAUACUACUUAUACAAGAAUUAUAGAAAUCUCGUAUCAUUCUUGCUACUUAUACAUACAUACUUAUGUAUAUUGAUUUGGUGUGGUAUUAGUGUGGUAAUUUGGUUUUCUUAUAGAAAUGUAAACUGAGCUGCAAAAUAUCGAAAUACGACGACAGUCUAUUGUUAGUAAUAUGUAGUUUACGAUA